This 253-nucleotide ribosomal RNA is filed under the name uncultured bacterium. Its description in RNAcentral is "partial 16S ribosomal RNA". It matches the Rfam family "Bacterial small subunit ribosomal RNA", at positions 524 to 776 of the family's 1533-position model. The record is from RNAcentral.
UACGAAGGGGGCUAGCGUUGUUCGGAUUUACUGGGCGUAAAGCGCGUGUAGGCGGGUCGCUAAGUUGGGGGUGAAAUCCCGAGGCUCAACCUCGGAACUGCCUUCAAAACUGGCGACCUGGAGCAAGAUAGAGGCGAGUUGAAUUGCGAGUGUAGAGGUGAAAUUCGUAGAUAUUCGCAGGAACACCAGUGGCGAAGGCGACUCGCUGGAUCGUUGCUGACGCUGAGACGCGAAAGCGUGGGGAGCAAACAGG